GCGAAACUGCGAACGGCUCAUUAAAACAGUUAUUGUUUAUUUGAUAAAUUCUACUACAUGGAUAACCGUAGUAAAUCACAGCUAAUACAUGCAAUAAAAGCCCGACUUCGGAAGGGCUGUAUUUAUUAGAUUAAACACCAACCGGCUUCGGCCGUUUCCGGUGAAUCAUGAUGACUAAACGAAUCGCAGAGCCCUUGCGGCGGCGAUACUCCAUUCAAAUUUCUGCCCUAUCAGCUUUCAACCGUAGGAUAUGGGCCUACGGUGGCUACAACGGGUCACGGAGAAUCAAGGUUCCAUUCCGGAAAGGGAGCCUGAGAAACGGCUACCCCCUCCAAGGGAGGGAGCCAGGGCGCAAAUUUCCCCAUGGCAAUUUCGCCAGGGAGGGACCAAGAAUUAACACCAAUUGAAUUUUUAUCCAAAUGGUGGGAAAGGUGGGGAAAUUAACCGCACGGACAAAGACCCAUAGGAGGGAAAGCCUGGGGCCAUAUCCUCAAGAAAGUAUAAUCCUGUAAAGAACACUAAAGUUGUUGAGAUUAACAAGAGCGAAGCCGCACGAGCGACAGGGGGAACACACUC
RNAcentral lists this ribosomal RNA (576 nucleotides) under uncultured eukaryote. RNAcentral's name for it is "bacterial SSU rRNA". It matches the Rfam family "Eukaryotic small subunit ribosomal RNA", at positions 81 to 661 of the family's 1831-position model. The record is from RNAcentral.